RNAcentral lists this ribosomal RNA (2887 nucleotides) under Pseudomonas sp. 31 R 17. RNAcentral describes it as "bacterial LSU rRNA". It matches the Rfam family "Bacterial large subunit ribosomal RNA". The record is from RNAcentral. RNAcentral also lists the same sequence under 1 other name. Lineage: Bacteria; Pseudomonadati; Pseudomonadota; Gammaproteobacteria; Pseudomonadales; Pseudomonadaceae.
UCAAGUGAAGAAGCGCAUACGGUGGAUGCCUUGGCAGUCAGAGGCGAUGAAAGACGUGGUAGCCUGCGAAAAGCUUCGGGGAGUCGGCAAACAGACUUUGAUCCGGAGAUGUCUGAAUGGGGGAACCCAGCCAUCAUAAGAUGGUUAUCUUACGCUGAAUACAUAGGCGUAAGAGGCGAACCAGGGGAACUGAAACAUCUAAGUACCCUGAGGAAAAGAAAUCAACCGAGAUUCCCUUAGUAGUGGCGAGCGAACGGGGACUAGCCCUUAAGUGGCUUUGAGAUUAGCGGAACGCUCUGGAAAGUGCGGCCAUAGUGGGUGAUAGCCCUGUACGCGAAAAUCUCUUAGUCAUGAAAUCGAGUAGGACGGAGCACGAGAAACUUUGUCUGAAUAUGGGGGGACCAUCCUCCAAGGCUAAAUACUACUGACUGACCGAUAGUGAACUAGUACCGUGAGGGAAAGGCGAAAAGAACCCCGGAGAGGGGAGUGAAAUAGAUCCUGAAACCGUAUGCGUACAAGCAGUGGGAGCCCACUUUGUUGGGUGACUGCGUACCUUUUGUAUAAUGGGUCAGCGACUUAUUUUCAGUGGCGAGCUUAACCGAAUAGGGGAGGCGUAGCGAAAGCGAGUCUUAAUAGGGCGUCUAGUCGCUGGGAAUAGACCCGAAACCGGGCGAUCUAUCCAUGGGCAGGUUGAAGGUUGGGUAACACUAACUGGAGGACCGAACCGACUACCGUUGAAAAGUUAGCGGAUGACCUGUGGAUCGGAGUGAAAGGCUAAUCAAGCUCGGAGAUAGCUGGUUCUCCUCGAAAGCUAUUUAGGUAGCGCCUCAUGUAUCACUGUAGGGGGUAGAGCACUGUUUCGGCUAGGGGGUCAUCCCGACUUACCAAACCGAUGCAAACUCCGAAUACCUACAAGUGCCGAGCAUGGGAGACACACGGCGGGUGCUAACGUCCGUCGUGAAAAGGGAAACAACCCAGACCGUCAGCUAAGGUCCCAAAGUUAUGGUUAAGUGGGAAACGAUGUGGGAAGGCUUAGACAGCUAGGAGGUUGGCUUAGAAGCAGCCACCCUUUAAAGAAAGCGUAAUAGCUCACUAGUCGAGUCGGCCUGCGCGGAAGAUGUAACGGGGCUCAAACCAUACACCGAAGCUACGGGUAUCACGUAAGUGAUGCGGUAGAGGAGCGUUCUGUAAGCCUGUGAAGGUGAGUUGAGAAGCUUGCUGGAGGUAUCAGAAGUGCGAAUGCUGACAUGAGUAACGACAAUGGGUGUGAAAAACACCCACGCCGAAAGACCAAGGUUUCCUGCGCAACGUUAAUCGACGCAGGGUUAGUCGGUCCCUAAGGCGAGGCUGAAAAGCGUAGUCGAUGGAAAACAGGUUAAUAUUCCUGUACUUCUGGUUAUUGCGAUGGAGGGACGGAGAAGGCUAGGCCAGCUUGGCGUUGGUUGUCCAAGUUUAAGGUGGUAGGCUGGAAUCUUAGGUAAAUCCGGGAUUCUAAGGCCGAGAGCUGAUGACGAGUCAUCUUUUAGAUGACGAAGUGGUUGAUGCCAUGCUUCCAAGAAAAGCUUCUAAGCUUCAGGUAACCAGGAACCGUACCCCAAACCGACACAGGUGGUUGGGUAGAGAAUACCAAGGCGCUUGAGAGAACUCGGGUGAAGGAACUAGGCAAAAUGGCACCGUAACUUCGGGAGAAGGUGCGCCGGUGAGGGUGAAGGACUUGCUCCGUAAGCUCAUGCCGGUCGAAGAUACCAGGCCGCUGCGACUGUUUAUUAAAAACACAGCACUCUGCAAACACGAAAGUGGACGUAUAGGGUGUGACGCCUGCCCGGUGCCGGAAGGUUAAUUGAUGGGGUUAGCUAACGCGAAGCUCUUGAUCGAAGCCCCGGUAAACGGCGGCCGUAACUAUAACGGUCCUAAGGUAGCGAAAUUCCUUGUCGGGUAAGUUCCGACCUGCACGAAUGGCGUAACGAUGGCGGCGCUGUCUCCACCCGAGACUCAGUGAAAUUGAAAUCGCUGUGAAGAUGCAGUGUAUCCGCGGCUAGACGGAAAGACCCCGUGAACCUUUACUAUAGCUUUGCACUGGACUUUGAAUUUGCUUGUGUAGGAUAGGUGGGAGGCUUUGAAGCGUGGACGCCAGUCUGCGUGGAGCCAACCUUGAAAUACCACCCUGGCAACUUUGAGGUUCUAACUCAGGUCCGUUAUCCGGAUCGAGGACAGUGUAUGGUGGGUAGUUUGACUGGGGCGGUCUCCUCCUAAAGAGUAACGGAGGAGUACGAAGGUGCGCUCAGACCGGUCGGAAAUCGGUCGUAGAGUAUAAAGGCAAAAGCGCGCUUGACUGCGAGACAGACACGUCGAGCAGGUACGAAAGUAGGUCUUAGUGAUCCGGUGGUUCUGUAUGGAAGGGCCAUCGCUCAACGGAUAAAAGGUACUCCGGGGAUAACAGGCUGAUACCGCCCAAGAGUUCAUAUCGACGGCGGUGUUUGGCACCUCGAUGUCGGCUCAUCACAUCCUGGGGCUGAAGCCGGUCCCAAGGGUAUGGCUGUUCGCCAUUUAAAGUGGUACGCGAGCUGGGUUUAGAACGUCGUGAGACAGUUCGGUCCCUAUCUGCCGUGGACGUUUGAGAUUUGAGAGGGGCUGCUCCUAGUACGAGAGGACCGGAGUGGACGAACCUCUGGUGUUCCGGUUGUCACGCCAGUGGCAUUGCCGGGUAGCUAUGUUCGGAAUAGAUAACCGCUGAAAGCAUCUAAGCGGGAAACUAGCCUCAAGAUGAGAUCUCACUGGAACCUUGAGUUCCCUGAAGGGCCGUCGAAGACUACGACGUUGAUAGGUUGGGUGUGUAAGCGCUGUGAGGCGUUGAGCUAACCAAUACUAAUUGCCCGUGAGGCUUGAC